CCUACGGGCGGCAGCAGUGAGGAAUAUUGGUCAAUGGCCGGAAGUCUGAACCAGCCAAGCCGCGUGAAGGACGAAGGUGCCAAGCAUUGUAAACUUCUUUUGUCAAGGGACAAACUCAGGCACGAGAGCCUGACCGAGGGUACUUGAAGAAAAAGCAUAGGCUAACUCCGUGCCAGCAGCCGCGGUAAUACGGAGGAUGCGAGCGUUAUCCGGAUUUAUUGGGUUUAAAGGGUGCGUAGGCGGGCGGUUAAGUCAGCGGUAAAAGCCCGGGGCUCAACCCCGGCGAGCCGUUGAAACUGGCUGUCUUGAGAUGUCGAGAGGUAUGCGGAAUGCGCGGUGUAGCGGUGAAAUGCUUAGAUAUUGCGCAGAACUCCGAUUGCGAAGGCAGCAUACCGGCGGCGAUCUGACGCUGAGGCACGAAAGCGUGGGUAUCGAACAGGAUUAGAUACCCGAGUAGUC
Molecule: ribosomal RNA, 459 nt
Filed under: uncultured bacterium
Lineage: Bacteria
Description: partial 16S ribosomal RNA
Rfam family: Bacterial small subunit ribosomal RNA
Source: RNAcentral